GAUGAACGCUGGCGGCGUGCCUAAUACAUGCAAGUCGAGCGAACAGAUGAUGAGCUUGCUCCUCUGACGUUAGCGGCUGACGGGUGAGUAACACGUGGAUAACCUACCUAUAAGACUGGGAUAACUUCGGGAAACCGGAGCUAAUACCGGAUAAUAUAUUGAACCGCAUGGUUCAAUAGUGAAAGACGGUUUUCCUGUCACUUAUAGAUGGAUCCGCGCCGCAUUAGCGAGUUGGUAAGGGAACGGCUUACCAAGGCAACGAUGCGUAGCUGACCUGAGAGGGUGAUCGGCCACACUGGAACUGAGACACGGUCCAGACUCCUACGGGAGGCAGCAGUAGGGAAUCUUCCGCAAUGGGCGAAAGCCUGACGCAGCAACGCCGCGUGAGUGAUGAAGGUCUUCGGAUCGUAAAACUCUGUUAUUAGGGAAGAAAAAAUGUGUAAGUAAAUAUGCACGUCUUGACGGUACCUAAUGAGAAAGCAACGGCUAACUACGUG
Molecule: ribosomal RNA, 497 nt
Filed under: uncultured bacterium
Lineage: Bacteria
Description: partial 16S ribosomal RNA
Rfam family: Bacterial small subunit ribosomal RNA
Source: RNAcentral